Electrophorus electricus (electric eel) is the source of this 891-nucleotide non-coding RNA. The record is from RefSeq and is a predicted model, not a curated record. Lineage: Eukaryota; Metazoa; Chordata; Actinopteri; Gymnotiformes; Gymnotidae.
UAGUAUUGGAAGACUUUUUUGGAAGAGUGCAUAUCCAACAGGAGGCUAAUGUCCUGCGCAGCAAGGCGAGUAAACCAGGUUCCAGUAGCCGGUGGUAUCCAGGGCACACAACCAGUAAAUGCGCAAAUCACAGAAGUAUAUCUCCUCUACAACGCGCAAUAAAAAUCCCCCCCCCAAACAAACAACCAAACAAAAACAUUUCUACUAAACGUUAUACGAAACAUAUGGAGUUUGAGUUGGACAUGUCGACGUCUGUCAUUCGUGCCCGGCUCUCCGUCAGACCCACACAUGCGCUUAUCGGUAAGUCUGGCUACCAGGCACCCCCUACCCAACCCCACCGCUGCUUCUGGCUCCAUCAGUUCCACAAUCACCUUGGCAACCCAGAAGCCUGCGGUGACUGAGUAAGUUUGUCUGGAACUGGGAAAAGCUUGCAAGUAGCGUGACACAAACCAGAAGAUAUCGCUCAUCCUGGAGAUCGUAUGCAUCUGCGUCACUUAGAUAACUGCUUGUAGUGUCUGACAAAGUGCCAGGUGCUCAGUGCAAGCCAGAACACCCACAUUCAUUUGUUCAUUAGAACAGCUGUAUUCAAGCACUAAUAACAGCUAUAUAAGGAAACAGGAGCAGGACAUUACUAGCAACUUGUGUAAUUACUGUGUUUUGGUGCAUUUCUGUCGUUUUUGGGGGGGGGGCUUGUUUUCGAACAGAGCAAAACAGGGAGAACCUAACUUUAUACAAAAGCAACAUGUUUUAUUUUUGAAAACUGAACAUGCCAAAUAAUUGAUUUCUGAUUACCGAUGUUAAAGUUAAGGCCAGUUUUAGGUUUAGGAUUAGUGACAUAUAGCAGAUACAUGUAUAUUUUUGACAAAGUACAUAAUAAAUGUAUAUGAGGUA